This 280-nucleotide ribosomal RNA is filed under the name uncultured bacterium. RNAcentral's name for it is "partial 16S ribosomal RNA". It matches the Rfam family "Bacterial small subunit ribosomal RNA", at positions 76 to 354 of the family's 1533-position model. The record is from RNAcentral.
CUUGCUUUUGAUUAUUUUAGCGGCGGACGGGUGAGUAACGUGUGGGUAACCUGCCUUUUACUGGGGAAUAAUCACUGGAAACGGUGACUAAUACCGCAUACGGUUCUUGGAAGGCAUCUUCUAGGAAAGAAAGGAUUUAUUCGGUAAAAGAUGGGCCCGCAUCUGAUUAGCUGGUUGGUGAGGUAACGGCUCACCAAGGCGACGAUACAUAGGGGGACUGAGAGGUUAACCCCCCACAUUGGUACUGAGACACGGACCAAACUCCUACGGAAGGCAGCAG